RNAcentral lists this ribosomal RNA (392 nucleotides) under Minidiscus sp. RNAcentral describes it as "partial small subunit ribosomal RNA". It matches the Rfam family "Eukaryotic small subunit ribosomal RNA", at positions 582 to 975 of the family's 1831-position model. The record is from RNAcentral. Lineage: Eukaryota; Bacillariophyta; Thalassiosirophyceae; Thalassiosirales; Thalassiosiraceae.
AUUCCAGCUCCAAUAGCGUAUAUUAAAGUUGUUGCAGUUAAAAAGCUCGUAGUUGGAUUUCUGGCAGGAGCGACCGGUCACACACUCUGUGUGUGAACUUGUGUUGUCUCUGGCCAUCCUUGGGAAGAUCCUGUUUGGCAUUAAGUUGUCGGGCAGGGGAUACCCAUCGUUUACUGUGAAAAAAUUAGAGUGUUUAAAGCAGGCUUAUGCCGUUGAAUAUAUUAGCAUGGAAUAAUAAGAUAGGACUUCGGAACUAUUUUGUUGGUUUGCGUUACGAAGUAAUGAUUAAUAGGGACAGUUGGGGGUAUUCGUAUUUCGUUGUCAGAGGUGAAAUUCUUGGAUUUCCGAAAGACGAACUACUGCGAAAGCAUUUACCAAGGAUGUUUUCAUCG